RNAcentral lists this transfer RNA (63 nucleotides) under Crioceris duodecimpunctata (spotted asparagus beetle). RNAcentral describes it as "tRNA-Cys". The record is from RNAcentral. Lineage: Eukaryota; Metazoa; Arthropoda; Insecta; Coleoptera; Chrysomelidae.
AGCCUUAUAGUCAACUAUGAUUUUAAAUUGCAAAUUUAAAGGUAAAAAUAAUUUUUAAGGCUU